CCCUUCCAGAUUCCUUGUCCCUCAGAUCUAAAUAUAGGUCUGAGUGGCUAUAUAAAGAGGAAGAGUAUACUAAAGUGCUCUUGGAGUCUUUAAUGACAUAUAAGUUCAAUCAAUG
This 115-nucleotide small nucleolar RNA is filed under the name Echinops telfairi (small Madagascar hedgehog). RNAcentral's name for it is "Small nucleolar RNA SNORA61 (ENSETEG00000025316.1)". Lineage: Eukaryota; Metazoa; Chordata; Mammalia; Afrosoricida; Tenrecidae. The record is from RNAcentral.